This 83-nucleotide transfer RNA is filed under the name Labilithrix sp. RNAcentral describes it as "tRNA-Leu". It matches the Rfam family "tRNA". From Rfam's summary of the family: Transfer RNA (tRNA) molecules are approximately 80 nucleotides in length. Lineage: Bacteria; Pseudomonadati; Myxococcota; Polyangiales; Labilitrichaceae. RNAcentral also lists the same sequence under 1 other name. The record is from RNAcentral.
GCCGAAGUGGCGGAAUGGCAGACGCAGCGGACUCAAAAUCCGCCGUCCUCACGGGCGUGAGGGUUCGAGUCCCUCCUUCGGUA